RNAcentral lists this ribosomal RNA (429 nucleotides) under Chloroflexota bacterium. Its description in RNAcentral is "Chloroflexi bacterium partial 16S ribosomal RNA". It matches the Rfam family "Bacterial small subunit ribosomal RNA", at positions 355 to 776 of the family's 1533-position model. The record is from RNAcentral. Lineage: Bacteria; Bacillati; Chloroflexota.
UGGGGAAUAUUGCACAAUGGGCGCAAGCCUGAUGCAGCCAUGCCGCGUGUAUGAAGAAGGCCUUCGGGUUGUAAAGUACUUUCAGUCGGGAGGAAGGUGGUAAGGUUAAUAACCUUGGCAAUUGACGUUACCGACAGAAGAAGCACCGGCUAACUCCGUGCCAGCAGCCGCGGUAAUACGGAGGGUGCAAGCGUUAAUCGGAAUUACUGGGCGUAAAGCGCACGCAGGCGGUUGAUUGAGUCAGAUGUGAAAUCCCCGGGCUUAACCCGGGAAUUGCAUCUGAUACUGGUCAGCUAGAGUCUUGUAGAGGUGGGUAGAAUUCCAUGUGUAGCGGUGAAAUGCGUAGAGAUGUGGCGGAAUCCCGGUGGCGAAGGCGCCCCCCUGGACAAAGACUGACGCUCAGGUGCGAAAGCGUGGGGAGCAAACAGG